AACAGUACAAAAAAAAAUUAUGAUAAAAAUUAUGUAAAUUAAUUAAUUAGUUAUAAUAUUUUAUCAAAUGUAGUUAUAAUUAGGGGUGAAAGUGGUUAGAAUAAACUAUGAUCGAAUUUGGCAUCAGAUUCAAUAGAAUGCGUGUGUAUAUAUAUAUAUACUUGUCAAAAUUAACAUUCAACACAUAUUCGUACCCGAAUAUUCGUAUUGAAAACAAAUAAAAAGAGAAUAUGGAUGCGAAUACUGUUUUUUACAAAAUCCAAUCGUAUUCGACCGUUUUAAACCUAAGAAAUAAGAAGGAUAUUGUAGGAAGAUGAAGUGACUUUCUAUUGUGUUUUUUUAUUUAUUUAGUUAACGAUAAAUUUUAUAUUUAUUAAAAUAUUGAAUUUUAUUGAAUGAAAUAUAGCUAUAGGAAGUUUGAAUACGAAUGUGAACCUUUAAUUGCAUUCUGUGUUGUAUUUACGACUAUUUUUAGUUCAUAUUUAUAUAUACAUAUUAGUGUAUAUUAUUAUUUAAAUAAUAUUCAAAUACAAAUUCGACUCAUAUUUGAAUCCGACAUAGAUUGGUAUCUGAAUUCUCAUUCGAAAAAAAUAUGAAUGCAAAUAUAAUUUUGUCAAAAAUUCGAGCAUAUUUGACCGUUUCCUCCCCUAGUUAUAGGUAUAUAUAAUUUUAGAAAUAUAUAUAAAAAUAAAUAACUAAAUUAUAUAAGAAUCUAUAUGAGUAAGUGACUAAGACACUAACCGUCCCUAGAGCAAGUGGCAAAGGGCUUGGUGGUUGGUAUCCGAUGUCCAAAGUUCGAAUCCUAGUUGAUUCACAUUUCCAGCUAAGUUUAUUUCUAAAUGAAAUAAACGAAGUGGGUAGCAAGCAACUAUCUCUCAAAAAAAAAAAAAGAAGAGUAAAUGGCUAAGACUACUAUACUCUUAUGAGUAUAAACUUCUUUGUACUUAUAAGUUUUCGAGUGUUAGAUGAAGGAAUGUGCGAUUAGGAUAAUAGCGGUCCCGGCCCUAUAAGGUUGAAUGGGUGGUUAGUUGAAUAAUAUAAUUUAACGGAUAAAAAUGAUCAAAAAAGUAAAUCUAAUGGCGGAAAACUUAUCAAUAUAAAGAGAUCUACAUUUAUAAGAGUAUAGUACCCAGAGUCUAAGUAUAUCAUAUUUGGAUGAUCUAAUGAUAUGUAGAGUAAGAG
Molecule: long non-coding RNA, 1182 nt
Filed under: Ananas comosus (pineapple)
Lineage: Eukaryota; Viridiplantae; Streptophyta; Magnoliopsida; Poales; Bromeliaceae
Description: long non-coding RNA (ACOM_LNC018226)
Source: RNAcentral